GCUGGGCUACACACGUCAUUCAAUGGGGGGACAGUGGGCAGCGGGAGCGCGAGGUCGAACUAAUCUCCAAAAGCCAUAUCAGUUCGGUUUUCACUAUGCAACUCGGGUGCAUGAAGUAGGAAUCGCUAGUAAUCGCAGAUCAGCAUGCGGCGGUGAAUUCGUUCCCGGACCUUGUACACACCGCUCGUCACAACAGGGGAGUUGGUUCUACGGGAAGGUAGUGCAAUAACCGCGAGGAGGCAGCUGCCCACGGUAGGGUCAGCGACUGGGGUGAAGUCGUAACAAGGUAGCCGUAGGGGAACCUGCGGCUGGAUCACCU
Molecule: ribosomal RNA, 319 nt
Filed under: uncultured bacterium
Lineage: Bacteria
Description: bacterial SSU rRNA
Rfam family: Bacterial small subunit ribosomal RNA
Source: RNAcentral